Molecule: long non-coding RNA, 674 nt
Organism: Achroia grisella
Lineage: Eukaryota; Metazoa; Arthropoda; Insecta; Lepidoptera; Pyralidae
Exons: 2
Source: RefSeq, a predicted model, not a curated record
CAGCCGGUUAAUGACUUCAUCAAAAUUUAACUUUCAAAAUAAUAUCGUUACACCCUAAGUGUAAUAAAACAUAAACUAAUAAAAUGUAGGACUGUAAAUUUAACAUCAGGAAACUAUCUGACCAAGAGCAACUGGCAUCAAUUAGGUCACGGCAUGUCAUGUGAUUAUUCACAAGCAUGUCGCCCCGAGCGCGGGGCAAAUCGAACGUCAAAAUGACGCUGAACACAACAAGCUUCAAACAUUUUCUUCAUGAGAAUGGUCUUCUCGUCUAUACAGUUUUAACAUUUUUAGCAGUUGUAGGAAUAUACAUGGUAACUAGUGACUGGAAAGGAUUCACCAGCCCGGAAGAGGUAGAUCUUGGUUAUUUGCGAGUAUCUUCGCAUGCCCAUGUUCGACGAAAACACUAUCGUGCCCAUAGGCGUUAAUGGUAUCGCACUAACGUGCUUUUGUUGCUUAAAUAUAAUAUAAUAUGAUACAUAACGCUCGCAUCUUUAAUAUAAUACGAAAUAGCAUAAUUUGGACACAUUAAAAAUUAAAUUGAUUCAACUACCUGAAUUUCAAAUACUUAAUUUUAAAUAUUUUUAGAUUUCUAAUGAAACUAGCUGUAUAUAAAUGUAAUAGUGAACGCUUAUUGUAAUAUAUCUGGUCAUUAAAUCUCAAAUAAUAUUUAUGUA